AGGGCCGUGAUGGGAAGCUAGUUGGAGGGUUUUAAGCAGAGGAGUGACCUAACUGAUCUGAUUUACAUGCUAGAAGGAUCUCUCAGGCUGCCAUGUGGAGGAGGAACAGCAGAGGCGAUAGAGUGGAGGUGCUCUGGAACAGGUGCCACAAGGAGAGUUAAGUUUAACUGGAGUUGGGGUCUUGCCAGGAGGUCAAGGAGGUGUUGGAUGUGAAGUCACCAAGAAUGAUAAGUGUAGAAGUGGAGAGAAAGUCAGCGAGCCAGGGGCUGAGAUGGGCCACGAACCAGAGGGAAUCACCAGGAUAUCUUACUGUAUCUCAGACUCAGCAUGUCAAAGUGAUUGAUGUCUCCCUCAAACCUGCUCCUCCACUGGGUAAAUGGCACCACCACCCAGAGCCAGAAACCUGGGUGUCUCUCCACUGGUUCCCCACACCCAAUCAAGUCACCAAAGCUUUCCGAUCCUAUCUCGUAAACAUUUCUUCAAUCCAGCUACUUCUUUCCAUCCCCACUGCUCACACCCUACUUUGGGCCAUUGUUGUUUGUCACUUGGACUAUUGUGUCAGAUUCCAGACAGGCAGCCCUGCCUUGGCCCCUCCACAUUGUAGCCAGAGACACUGCAAAUUAGAUCAUGUCAUUUCUGUGCUAAGUCUCUUCAUUGUCCUUAGGAUAAAGUCCAAAAUCACGAACAUGGCUUUACAAAGAAAUCACUCCUGGAUCCGGCCUCUGUCUAUUGCAGCCUAACUCCUACCACGAGCCCCCUCGCCUGGCUCAAGCCCUCCUGGGUCACUUCCCGUCCUUGUCAUCAGAUUUACUCUCCUUUCUGGGCCUUUCAUGUCCUGUCCCCUCUGCCUGG
Molecule: long non-coding RNA, 852 nt
Organism: Equus quagga
Lineage: Eukaryota; Metazoa; Chordata; Mammalia; Perissodactyla; Equidae
Exons: 3
Source: RefSeq, a predicted model, not a curated record